UAAGAAAUGGAUCCAGCCACGGAUGACAGACCGGAUAUUUCCAUGAGUGCCCAUGGAAAUAACCACUGGAGAUCCCUUAGCUUUCCACCUGGAUUCUUACCCCUGGUGUUCCGCAUGGAAUAAGGACGGAAAUUUCCCUUUAUAUGGGUGGAAAACACCAGGGUUAAUCCAGUGGUUUUCCCUUUGAGAUAUACCACGGGUAGACUCCCAUGGAAUCCGUGCGGAAUACCAGUGGAAAUUUCCAGCAGCAAUAUCCAGUGGUAGUCCAUGGGGUUUCCCAAGGGAUUUUUCAGUGAUACCCCCGGAAAUUUCCACUGGUAAUCCUCUGGUUUUCCACCAUGGUUAUAUGAGUGGAAUGACAGUGGAAAUUUCCAGGGUGAUGAGUGGAUAUCACCAUGGGUAGUCCAAGGGUUUUCCCGUAGAAAGUUCCAGGUGGAAAAUUCCAUCUUUCAGAUGGAAAAUCCCAAAGGAAUUCAUGUGGAGUACCAGUGGAAUAUUCCAGUGUAAACAUCCAGUGGAAGACCCUUGGUUCUCCCACGGUUAUAUACACUCAUACACAUGGUAAUAUCCACUGGUAAUCCUGUGGUUUCUCACCACGGUUAUAUGAGUGAAACAACAGUGAAAUUUUCCCUGGUGAUGGAUGGAAAUCACCAUGGGCACUCCGAAGGUUUUCCCAUAGAAACUUCAAAGUGGUGAAUUCCUACUUCCAGGUGGAAAAUUCUAGAAGAAUUUGUGUGGAGCACCAUGGAAAGUUCCAGUGUUCUAUUUUAUUAAAAAAAAAAAGAUUUCACUCUGCGAUAUGUCUAUUUUAAUAUUAAUCGAAAGAAUUUAUCACAACGGUCUCUGUAUUUCAAAUGUAAUCGACGAGUCGAUGAUGCGUUCGAUGAGUAAAUAACGCCAUUUCAGCGCACGCGCAUUGCUCACGGAUUUUUCUGGAAGUCGUGGUGAAUUGGUUCUUGUGCAGUUAUUUGUGAAAAAAAUACAAUUAAAACUUUGAAAAACCAGUGACAAAAGUGUGCGGGAUGAACAAUAGAACUAGUUAAAUAAAGUGACACGGUUUUCAAUGCGAAAUAAAGAAAUUUAGUGCGCGAAACACAAAAAAAUCAUCUUCUCCGUCUCAUUCUUUGUGUUGACAAGACCAUAUUAUACACGAUAAGGCGAUGAAGUCCUGUGCCAAAAUAGUCGGUCAAAUCAAAGACAGCAAUAGGCCAUGCAGAAAGCGUAAGAAGGCAACGCCAGCAAUUCCAUUACCAAAGAACACUUCAGCAGUACCUGGGCCAUAUACUCAGCGAGAUUUGAAAUCGUCUGAAUCUACUCAUACAUCUAUCUAUCGUCUAAAUCGUAAGCUGUGUAAGGUGAUCAACGAUUCCUGCUUCUUUUGUAAUUCAUUAUAAUGUAAAUAUUUUUUCAAUCACGUCAAUAUUUUUUAUAUAUGUAUCUGAACAUUAAAUUAAUUUGAAGUUUAAUUAGAUUUUUUUUUUAAAUUAAAUGUAUUAUUUUUUUUUUAAUUUUAUUAAAAAAGUGAAGUUAAUACAUGAAAUAAAAUGUUCUCUGCUAUAUA
Phlebotomus papatasi is the source of this 1561-nucleotide long non-coding RNA. RefSeq lists it as uncharacterized. The record is from RefSeq and is a predicted model, not a curated record. The transcript has 3 exons. NCBI's taxonomy places the organism in Eukaryota, Metazoa, Arthropoda, Insecta, Diptera, Psychodidae.